Molecule: transfer RNA, 78 nt
Filed under: Symploca sp. SIO1A3
Lineage: Bacteria; Bacillati; Cyanobacteriota; Cyanophyceae; Coleofasciculales; Coleofasciculaceae
Also listed under: 1 other name
Description: tRNA-Leu
Rfam family: tRNA
About the family: Transfer RNA (tRNA) molecules are approximately 80 nucleotides in length.
Source: RNAcentral
ACUCCUGUAGCCCAAUUGGAAGAGGCGGCUGUCUCAAAAACAGUCAAUGUGUGAGUUCGACUCUCACCAGGAGUACCA